This 395-nucleotide unclassified non-coding RNA is filed under the name Cnesmone javanica. RNAcentral's name for it is "partial external transcribed spacer". Lineage: Eukaryota; Viridiplantae; Streptophyta; Magnoliopsida; Malpighiales; Euphorbiaceae. The record is from RNAcentral.
CAAGCUCGUGCAUCGAACUGCUGAAUCUCGAUCUCCUCAGCUCAAGGCCACGCUCGCCUCUCUGGCUUCGUGGGCGGAGUCCGGUUCCCUGCGUCGCGAACCCACUGAAGUGGAAGUCGGUUGUGUUGCUGUGCGAUUCUCGCCUCACUCCCGCCAAGGGCGUGUGGYGAGCGUGGAGGCACCUCCUUUGCUCCGGACACGUCGGUCCGACUGUCUCGGCGCAUCGGCAGGGUAGCCCGUGCUUUCCGGGAUGCUGAAAACCUUUCUGUGGCCCGAGGGAUCCGAUCCCUYCGUGUUGCCCGACAUGUCCCUUAUAUUCGAACGACGCGCAGUGCCUGUGUCCCCUCCUCGGCUUGCCGGGGAUGGGAGCCGGUGCUGAGCUCGUGAAGGAAUGC